GUCGCCUCCAGCCAAGGGUCUGCGCGCCCCCUCCUCCUCUCAGGCUCCUCUGGCCUCGCCCCUCCCUCUCACGUUCCCAACUCCCAAGGACAACUUGUCGCUCGCUUCAGAAGCCCGGGGCUUCGUUCUGUCCCCCAGACUCUUUCUCCCCUACUUCUUUUGUCUAUUUCUGCAUUUGACGGCUUCUCUGGGAAGCGUUCCCCGGAUCUCCUUCUCUCUUGUCCGUUCUCGCUCGCUCUCUCUAGCUCUCACUCUCUCUCUCUCUUACACACACACACACACACACACACACACACACACACACAGUCUCUCCUCUGUCUGCCGGCCAUCUCGGCGCCUUUCCUCCGCGCCUCUGGCCUUCCAGAGGGCUCAAGGCCCACUCUUGGAACCGCCGCGCGGUGAUCCGACGGCGCCCCAGCGAGGGGGCAGGUGAGACCGGCGGGAGCCCCGCCCGGGCGGACGCGGAGGAAGGUGGCGCCCGCGCCAAUCCGCCGCCCGGGUCCUGUCCUCUCCCCUCUCACCCCCUCGUCGGCGCCAGGGGGACUGAGGACGCACGAGUCCCUUCGCGCCUCCAGCGCCGUCGGCGCCGGCGCCCCAGACCCAGACACUGCGGCCAGAGGCCUCACGGGGGCGGGGGGCGGCGACCCACAGCCGAUGAGCCCUUGGCCCCGGCGUCAUCACCAGCGUCCCUAGGCUCUGGAGCGCCCCAAGCCCCGGGUCCCUGCAGCCUCUGAAGACGCGCGGAGGACAGCGCGGUUCGGAGAGAGGGCGCCAAAGGCGACGCGCCGGCGGCCGGCUCCAGGCCAAGCCCAGUGCGUCUGCAGGAACCGGCCCCUUCACCAACGCGGGACACAGAGCUGCGUGAGGACUCAACGCCAGGGCGCCGCCUAGAGGUCGGCGGCGGCCUCAGCCUCACCCGCCAGCCACCGCGGAGCCGCUCCCCCAGCCCGGGGCAAAAAAAAAUUGGGGGCAAAACAUCGAGCUUAGGUCUCAGGGAUGGUGCUUCCGGCACCUCUGCCUGCUCUGAAACCCACCCCGCCAACAUAUUGAACCCUACCUAGGAAGGGAGACGGAGGAAGAAGGCCCAGGAAUAUUUAUUCUCCUUGCAACUCUAACUAAAUGGAAGGGGGUCUCAAUUUCGGUUUCUUUGAGGAUCCUGGGUUCUGCAUCUGUGUCUACACUGCCUCCUCUCAACAUCCCAUGUGCAGUCCCCUCCAGUUAUGCUAGAACUCUGCUGUAUCUUCAAGAAGGGACAAGAGUAGGGAAAAGUUACCCCUAAAUCCUGCAGCUUGAUCAUCUACAUUUUCAAUUUUCUGAAUAACUUGGGAGAUCGACGUGCUUUGGGGAGAGGAUUUGGACACUUGAGGGUGAAAAGAAACCCCGCCUCAAUGGCCUUUACUCACGGAGUGACCAUUAUGAGCUCAACCAGUGUAUGAGAAGGGUGCCUGUGGGCAGCAGCUCCCCUGUUGGACAGGAGGGGAUGUAAACCAUUUGAAGUUCAUCAACACGGUGAAGUUUUAUUGUAUUUCCGGUCCCCAAGAUUUAUACCCGGGAGGGGGAGCGGGCGGCCGGG
Molecule: long non-coding RNA, 1573 nt
Organism: Herpailurus yagouaroundi (jaguarundi)
Lineage: Eukaryota; Metazoa; Chordata; Mammalia; Carnivora; Felidae
Exons: 3
Source: RefSeq, a predicted model, not a curated record